CAGAGAUCCAAAAUUGAUACAGUACUCACAGAGAUGGGGAAAGCAAUGAAAAGCAUAAGGGGGACAAGAUCUACAAAAGCCAUACCCUACAAGCAAAAGAGCCUCUGACUACAUUAAAAGGAUUAAAAACCACAAUUAAAACUGCAGCUAAAGUCCUAUUGUACCUUCACAAUGGGACUCUGCCCACGCUACCCUCAGAUGAACUAGGAACCAAAGAGACACUGCUCCCAGAACACAGGAAAGUAACCAUCAUUGGGAAAGUCAGACGACACAAAAAUGAAAAGAGCACACAAAUUACACAAAGCAACAGUCCUGCCAAGAAAGAAGAGGAACCUUUGAAAAGCCACAAAGGGCUCUACUCUAAUGUUUUUGACGAAAUAAGCCUGAUUUAGUCUCCAGUAUCUUCUCUUGAAGUGCAGCUUCCGUUGGGACAUACAAAAUAAAUAUGCUGCAGAGUU
This is a long non-coding RNA of Fukomys damarensis (Damara mole-rat), 458 nucleotides long. RefSeq lists it as uncharacterized. The transcript is spliced from 3 exons. NCBI's taxonomy places the organism in Eukaryota, Metazoa, Chordata, Mammalia, Rodentia, Bathyergidae. The record is from RefSeq and is a predicted model, not a curated record.